RNAcentral lists this ribosomal RNA (428 nucleotides) under uncultured prokaryote. Its description in RNAcentral is "bacterial SSU rRNA". It matches the Rfam family "Bacterial small subunit ribosomal RNA", at positions 355 to 774 of the family's 1533-position model. The record is from RNAcentral.
UGAGGAAUAUUGCGCAAUGGGGGCAACCCUGACGCAGCGACGCCGCGUGAGUGAGGAAGGCCUUCGGGUCGUAAAGCUCUGUCAAAGGGAAAGAAGUGCAUGGUGGCUAAUACCUGCCAUGUUUGACGGUACCCUUAAAGGAAGCACCGGCUAACUCCGUGCCAGCAGCCGCGGUAAUACGGAGGGUGCAAGCGUUGUUCGGAAUCACUGGGCGUAAAGGGCGCGUAGGCGGUUUGGUAAGUCAGUGGUGAAAGCCCACGGCUUAACUGUGGAAGUGCAUUUGAAACUGUCAGACUUGAGGAUCAGAGGGGAAAGUGGAAUUCCCGGUGUAGAGGUGAAAGUCGUAGAUAUCGGGAGGAAUACCGGUGGCGAAGGCGACUUUCUGGCUGAAUACUGACGCUGAGGCGCGAAAGCGUGGGGAGCAAACA